Molecule: ribosomal RNA, 502 nt
Filed under: uncultured bacterium
Lineage: Bacteria
Description: partial 16S ribosomal RNA
Rfam family: Bacterial small subunit ribosomal RNA
Source: RNAcentral
ACUCAAAGGAAUUGACGGGGGCCCGCACAAGCGGUGGAGCAUGUGGUUUAAUUCGACGCAACGCGAAGAACCUUACCUGGGCUUGAACUGUCGAUGGUAGGCUGAAGGAAACUUUGGCCGACCCGAAAGGGAGUCGAUAGAGGUGCUGCAUGGUUGUCGUCAGCUCGUGUCGUGAGAUGUUGGGUUAAGUCCCGCAACGAGCGCAACCCCUAUCUCAUGUUGCUAUUCUCGCAAGAGAAGCACUCUUGAGAAACUGCCUUCGAUAAGAAGGAGGAAGGUGGGGACGACGUCAAAUCAUCAUGGCCCUUAUGUCCAGGGAAACACACGUGCUACAAUGGCCGGUACAAUGGGAAGCAAAACCGCAAGGCGAAGCCAAACCCCAAAAGCCGGCCCCAGUUCAGAUUGUGGGCUGCAACUCGCCCGCAUGAAGGCGGAAUCGCUAGUAAUCGCUGAUCAGCAGGCAGCGGUGAAUACGUUCCCGGGCCUUGCACACACCGCCCGU